UAGUAUAUGAGCAUGCGGUAGUCCACGC
Molecule: small RNA, 28 nt
Filed under: Bombyx mori (domestic silkworm)
Lineage: Eukaryota; Metazoa; Arthropoda; Insecta; Lepidoptera; Bombycidae
Description: piRNA piR-bmo-2204424
Source: RNAcentral